UACGUAGGGGGCAAGCGUUGUCCGGAAUCAUUGGGCGUAAAGAGCGUGUAGGCGGCCAGAUAAGUCCGCUGUGAAAUCUCGAGGCUCAACUUCGAGCUGUCGGUGGAAACUGUCUGGCUAGAGUCCGGAAGAGGAGAAUGGAAUUCCUGGUGUAGCGGUGAAAUGCUUAGAUAUGACAUAGAACACCAAUUGCGAAGGCAGCUCGCUACACAUAUAUUGACUCUGAGGCACGAAAGCGUGGGGAUCAAACAGG
This 253-nucleotide ribosomal RNA is filed under the name uncultured bacterium. RNAcentral's name for it is "partial 16S ribosomal RNA". It matches the Rfam family "Bacterial small subunit ribosomal RNA", at positions 524 to 776 of the family's 1533-position model. The record is from RNAcentral.